Molecule: unclassified non-coding RNA, 151 nt
Filed under: fungal sp.
Lineage: Eukaryota; Fungi
Description: partial internal transcribed spacer region
Rfam family: Eukaryotic small subunit ribosomal RNA (bases 1-46)
Source: RNAcentral
AAGUCGUAACAAGGUUUCCGUAGGUGAACCUGCGGAAGGAUCAUUAAAGAGAAAAAAACACAACACCGUGCACAAACAAAACGAACAAAUACAAAAUAAUCAGUGUCUUAAAAAACUAGUACAACUUUUAGCAACGGAUCUCUAGGUUCUC